Molecule: long non-coding RNA, 1556 nt
Organism: Neopelma chrysocephalum (saffron-crested tyrant-manakin)
Lineage: Eukaryota; Metazoa; Chordata; Aves; Passeriformes; Pipridae
Exons: 3
Source: RefSeq, a predicted model, not a curated record
ACUUCCUGAAUCCUGCAGAGAGUUACAGUGAUGAUGAGGUAUCUCUCUGGGGAAAUGCAAGUUUCAUUAAACCUCUUCUGGGUUUCUAAUCCUCAGUUGUAAAUUACUAAGGUACAGAAGCCAAAAUGCUGCAUGAGCCUGGGAACUUCCUUCUUUGCUAACCCCUUUUCAAGAUAGAUUUUUGAUUAUGUAGAGAUUUGGAACUUUUCCUCAAAAUAGGUGAUGCCUGUUGCCUCUCUGCUGUGUGACAAACGUGUGCUUGUUCAGGUGCAGGUAACACCACACCACCCACAGCAGAGCGCAGGAUUGUGUUUCUACCUGUUUCAGACCAAGAUUUUCUGACUAAUUCUGGCAGGCUGCAAGACUUCUAUGCAAUUAUGAGAUUAAAAACCUGCCAGUAUGCUCUCCUGUGCACCCAGACUCAAAGUUAUCCAUCAUAAAAGCUACACUUUUUUUUUCCUAUCUUUCAUAAACCCCUUUGGAUUGCUUGAGUCUUCUGGGUGCUGUAAAUUAUAUUAACUGGAGAGCAGAAAGGGAGGAUUUGUGAGAUGAGGGUCUAAUUCUCUUAUUGCAGGGUAUGGUGCUUUUUCUCUGUUUAUUCUUUUAUUUCAGGAUAUGGUGCUUUUUCUGCGUUAGGCCUCUUGAGUCCCUAUAGACCAGGAAUAUGUGAUAAUUUAAGGUCAUGCAGGUGCUCAUUUAGGAAGCAGCUGACCUAAAAACAGAACUGUUUUUGAAAAGACAAAUCUACUGUAUAAGCUGUCACUUCUGCCUGAUCUCUCCUCGGAAGAGAACAAAGGUGAAGAAAGGUGUCAGAAAGCAAAGAAGACUCAGGGCCAGUUUCAAGCAACAUUUCACUUCUCUGAGCACACAUAAUACUCAAAAGAUCCAAGAUCUUGACAUGAACAAAGCUGCAUCCUUUUUCCUUUUUUCAGUCAUGAUGUUCUGUACAGAGGGACUUCACUUUCAGAGGCCACCAAAACAAGUGAAAUCAACAUAAAUACCCAUAUGCACAGGAACACCUCGAGGUGCUGGAGAAGACAGCAGGGGAGCCGAAUGGCCAAUGCAGAUGUGAUUUCCUCAAAAUGUUUUGUCUUAAAGCUUAUCUCAGAGUAUGAUGAAAACAGGUGGUGGAAAGAAAAAAAGCCUAACAGACACAGAAAAUACAGCCAUUAGGCCAAAUGGAGGCAGUCAGAUAACCUCUUAAGGCCAGUUUCUGAGGUGCAUUAAAACUGCAACAGGAAAAAGGUAGGACUGGGUCUAUGUCUUUGUGUCCAAGGUGUAACAUUAUGAGUAGUUGGCCCCAAAUGUCUUCCAAGACUGUGCUGAUUCCCAGCGUGAAUCUGGAGAGCUUCCCUUGGUGAACUGCAAACUUUCUGAAGACAAACUGUGGCUGAAUUUGUGUUUCAGUGGUGUGAUUGAAACACCUGAGAUACCCAAGGGCCCCUUGCAGCAGAGGAAACCUAAACCUGAAUGGGUCCAGUGAACUGUUUCCAUCAACCAAAAUAUGGCCAUUCCUCCACAAUUUUUAUGCAGGUAUAGCCAAGAGAAAGAGAAUU